Molecule: long non-coding RNA, 4686 nt
Organism: Oncorhynchus tshawytscha (Chinook salmon)
Lineage: Eukaryota; Metazoa; Chordata; Actinopteri; Salmoniformes; Salmonidae
Source: Ensembl
AUCACUGACAGGAUAUAGAAUACACCUGGACAACAUCACUGACAGGAUAUAGAAUACACCACCUGGACAACAUCACUGACAGGAUAUAGAAUACACCACCUGGACAACAUCACUGACAGGAUAUAGAAUACACCUGGACAACAUCACUGACAGGAUAUAGAAUACACCUGGACAACAUCACUGACAGGAUAUAGAAUACACCACAUGGACAAUGUGUCUGACACAGAUUUAACUGUGUGGACAACAUUACUGACAGAUUCAAACCAGGUGGACAUCAAUCUGUCUGAUAUGGACAGGAGACAGCCUCACUGCUCUGAUGACCUGCAGAGAGGAGAGGAGACAAACAGACAGAGAUUCAAACCAGGUGGACAUCAAUCUGUCUGAUAUGGACAGGAGACAGCCUCACUGCUCUGAUGACCUGCAGAGAGGAGAGGAGACAAACAGACAGAGGUACAGAAGACGUUACUUGAAUCACCUUCCACAACACAUGAAUAAUGACAUUUGUAAACCCACUGAUCGUGGUGCCCUUUGUUUAAUGUAUGUCAACAUGACCCCGGGACAACACACUCCUUCUAAGGCUGAGAAACAGGUGUGUGAAAAUGUAUGACAGAUAAUGACGACUAUACGAGGGGGGGAGGGGGGGUUCUCUCUGUAUGUAGACAUUGAAUAAUGUAAUGUAUAGAUAUGACAUCAAUAAGACGAGGUUCUGUAUGUUGACAUCGAAUCAUAUCAUGGUUCUACACUAAAACAUAUUCUUGAAAACAUGUACAGCUUGUAAACCAGAAAUAAAGACAGACCAUAGUUUUAAUUCUGUGUCAACAAACUGUUCUUAAAAAUACCUAUCUGUUCUUCUCGGCUCUGUUGAGACUUGUGGAGUUAUUGGAUUGUUAAAUCUCUAUUUUUUUAAGGUGUGAUAUAUAUAUGUUUUAUAUGAAAAGGGAUUGGUUUAAAACUGGAGAUUUUAUUUGAUAGAUUUAUAACAUUCAAUUAUGUUUUUUUUACAUUUUUUUAUGUUGAUAAAAUGUUUUGCCUUGAUGAGAACAUGGCAGGCAGGUGGAGGGUGACAAAAACAAAAUGGCUUCCUUUCAAAACAAUCAUGUUCCGUGUUCACGUGCUAAUCAGAACUUGGAACUUUCCGACCUGCUGACCGGUUGUGGUUAUUAAACACGUGCCGCGUUCAACCAGUUAGAAAGUCUGAAUUUCCUAGUUUCCGACUAGCAAGUGAACACGACAUUAAACAUCCCAUUUUCCGGCGCAGGGAUAUGACGUCAUCAGUAUGAAUCUGCUGCAGGUGUUUAACUACGUCACCCAGUGUCACCCCGUGUAACUAUGGUUACUACGUCACACAGUGUUAACUACAUCACCCAGUGUCACCCCGUGUAACUAUGGUUACUACGUCACCCUGUGUUAACUACGUCACCCAGUGUCACCCCGUGUAACUAUGGUUACUACUUCACCCCGUGUUAACUACGUCACCCAGUGUCACCCCGUGUAACUAUGGUUACUACGUCACCCUGUGUUAACUACGUCACCCAGUGUCACCCCGUGUAACUAUGGUUACUACUUCACCCCGUGUUAACUACGUCACCCAGUGUCAACCCGUGUAACUAUGGUUACUACGUCACACCGUGUUAACUGCGUCACCCAGUGUCACCCUGUGUAACUAUGGUUACUACGUCACGCAGUGUUAACUACAUCACCCAGUGUCACCCCGUGUAACUAUGGUUACUACGUCACCCCGUGUUAACUACGUCACCCAGUGUCACCCUGUGUAACUAUGGUUACUACGUCACGCAGUGUUAACUACGUCAACCAGUGUCACCCCGUGUAACUAUGGUUACUAUGUCACCCAGUGUCAGGCCCAGUUAAAACAACCUGUAAUGCCCUAUUCAAUGCACCAUUGGGAUAACCCUACUGUCUGACCUGGACUGCAGUACACCAUAUUAUAUAGUGUAGGGAUCUCAUCACAACAACCCAGUCAGAUGUACUGGUAUAGAUAUCACCACCCUGUCAGAUGGUAUAGAUAUAACAACCCAGUUAGAUGGUAUAGAUAUCAACACCCUGUCGGAUGGUAUAGAUAUCACCACCCAGUCAGAUGGUAUAGAUAUCACCACCCAGUCAGAUGGUAUAGAUAUCACAACCCAGUCAGAUGUACUGGUAUAGAUAUCACAACCCAGUUAGAUGUACUGGUAUAGAUAUCACCACCCAGUCAGAUGUACUGGUAUAGAUAUCACAACCCAGUUAGAUGGUAUAGAUAUCACCAUCCAGUCAGAUGGUAUAGAUAUCACCACCCAGUCAGAUGUACUGGUAUAGAUAUCACCACCCAGUCAGAUGUACUGGUAUAGAUAUCACAACCCAGUUAGAUGGUAUAGAUAUCACCACCCAGUCAGAUGUACUGGUAUAGAUAUCACAACCCAGUUAGAUGGUAUAGAUGGUAUAGAUAUCACCACCCAGUUAGAUGGUAUAGAUAUCACCACCCAGUCAGAUGUACUGGUAUAGAUAUCACCACCCAGUCAGAUGUACUGGUAUAGAUAUCACCACCCAGUCAGAUGUACUGGUAUAGAUAUCACCACCCAGUAAGAUGGUAUAGAUAUCACCACCCAGUCAGAUGGUAUUAAUAAUACCACCCAGUCAGAUGUACUGGUAUAGAUAUCACCACCCAGUCAGAUGUACUGGUAUAGAUAUCACCACCCAGUCAGAUGGUAUAGAUAUCACCACCCAGUCAGAUGUACUGGUAUAGAUAUCACCACCCAGUCAGAUGGUAUAGAUAUCACAACCCAGUCAGAUGUACUGGUAUAGAUAUCACCACCAAGUCAGAUGUACUGGUAUAGAUAUCACCACCCAGUCAGAUGGUAUAGAUAUCACCAUCAACCCAGUCAGAGGUACUGGUAUAGAUAUCACCACCCAGUCAGAUGGUAUAGAUAUCACCACCCAGUCAGAUGUACUGGUAUAGAUAUCACAACCCAGUCAGAUGGUAUAGAUAUCACCACCCAGUCAGAUGUACUGGUAUAGAUAUCACCACUCAGUCAGAUGUACUGGUAUAGAUAUCACCACCCAGUCAGAUGGUAUAGAUAUCACAACCCAGUCAGAUGUACUGGUAUAGAUAUCACCACCAAGUCAGAUGUACUGGUAUAGAUAUCACCACCCAGUCAGAUGUACUGGUAUAGAUAUCACCACCCAGUCAGAUGUACUGGUAUAGACAUCACCACCAACCCAGUCAGAUGUACUGGUAUAGAUAUCACCACCCAGUCAGAUGGUAUAGAUAUCACCACCCAGUCAGAUGUACUGGUAUAGAUAUCACCACCCAGUCAGAUGUACUGGUAUAGAUAUCACCAUCAACCCAGUCAGAUGUACUGGUAUAGAUAUCACCAUCAACCCAGUCAGAUGUACUGGUAUAGAUAUCACCACCCAGUCAGAUAUACUGGUAUAGAUAUCACCACCCAGUCAGAUGUACUGGUAUAGAUAUCACCACCCAGUCAGAUGGUAUAGAUAUCACCACCCAGUCAGAUGUACUGGUAUAGAUAUCACCACCCAGUCAGAUGUACUGGUAUAGAUAUCACAACCCAGUCAGAUGUACUGGUAUAGAUAUCACCACCCAGUCAGAUGUACUGGUAUAGAUAUCACCACCCAGUCAGAUGUACUGGUAUAGAUAUCACCACCCAGUCAGAUGGUAUAGAUAUCACCACCCAGUCAGAUGUACUGGUAUAGAUAUCACCACCAAGUCAGAUGUGAUGGUAUAGAUAUCACCACCAACCCAGUCAGAUGUACUGGUAUAGAUAUCACCACCCAGUCAGAUGGUAUAGAUAUCACCACCCAGUCAGAUGUACUGGUAUAGAUAUCACCACCCAGUCAGAUGUACUGGUAUAGAUAUCACCACCCAGUCAGAUGUACUGGUAUAGACAUCACCACCAACCCAGUCAGAUGUACUGGUAUAGAUAUCACCACCCAAUCAGAUGAUAUAGAUAUCACCACCCAGUCAGAUGGUAUAGAUAUCACCACCAACCCAGUCAGAUGUUCUGGUAUAGAUAUCACCACCCAGUCAGAUGGUAUAGAUAUCACCACCAACCCAGUCAGAUGGUAUAGAUAUCACCAUCAACCCAGUCAGAUGUACUGGUAUAGAUAUCACCACCCAGUCAGAUAUACUGGUAUAGAUAUCACCACCCAGUCAGAUGGUAUAGAUAUUACCACCAACCCAGUCAGAUGGUAUAGAUAUCACCACCAGUCAGAUGGUAUUAAUAAUACCACCCAGUCAGAUGUACUGGUAUAGAUAUCACCACCCAGUCAGAUGGUAUUAAUAAUACCACCCAGUCAGAUGUACUGGCAUAGAUAUCACAACCCAGUCAGAUGUACUGGUAUAGAUAUCACCACCCAGUCAGAUGGUAUAGAUAUCACCACCCAGUCAGAUGUACUGGUAUAGAUAUCACCACCCAGUCAGAUGGUAUAGAUAUCACAACCCAGUCAGAUGUACUGGUAUAGAUAUCACCACCCAGUCAGAUGUACUGGUAUAGAUAUCACCACCCAGUCAGAUGGUAUAGAUAUCACCACCCAGUCAGAUGUACUGGUAUAGAUAUCACCACCCAGUCAGAUGUACUGGUAUAGAUAUCACAACCCAGUCAGAUGUACUGGUAUAGAUAUCACCACCCAGUCAGAUGUACUGGUAUAGAUAUCACAACCCAGUCAGGGGGG